RNAcentral lists this ribosomal RNA (404 nucleotides) under uncultured Pseudomonas sp. RNAcentral describes it as "bacterial SSU rRNA". It matches the Rfam family "Bacterial small subunit ribosomal RNA", at positions 981 to 1382 of the family's 1533-position model. Lineage: Bacteria; Pseudomonadati; Pseudomonadota; Gammaproteobacteria; Pseudomonadales; Pseudomonadaceae. The record is from RNAcentral.
UUGACAUGCAGAGAAUUUCCAGAGAUGGAUUGGUGCCUUCGGGAACUCUGACACAGGUGCUGCAUGGCCGUCGUCAGCUCGUGUCGUGAGAUGUUGGGUUAAGUCCGUAACGAGCGCAACCCUUGUCCUUAGUUACCAGCACGUUAUGGUGGGCACUCUAAGGAGACUGCCGGUGCAAACCGGAGGAAGGUGGGGAUGACGUCAAGUCAUCAUGGCCCUUACGGCCUGGGCUACACACGUGCUACAAUGGUCGGUACAAAGGGUUGCCAAGCCGCGAGGUGGAGCUAAUCCCAUAAAACCGAUCGUAGUCCGGAUCGCAGUCUGCAACUCGACUGCGUGAAGUCGGAAUCGCUAGUAAUCGUGAAUCAGAACUGUCACGGUCGAAUACGUUCCCGGGACCUUAG